Molecule: ribosomal RNA, 482 nt
Filed under: uncultured bacterium
Lineage: Bacteria
Description: bacterial SSU rRNA
Rfam family: Bacterial small subunit ribosomal RNA
Source: RNAcentral
UUGAACGCUGGCGGCAUGCCUUACACAUGCAAGUCGAACGGCAGCACGGGAGCAAUCCUGGUGGCGAGUGGCGAACGGGUGAGUAAUACAUCGGAACGUGCCCAGUUGUGGGGGAUAGCCCGGCGAAAGCCGGAUUAAUACCGCAUACGACCUACGGGUGAAAGCGGGGGAUCGCAAGACCUCGCGCUAUUGGAGCGGCCGAUGUCGGAUUAGCUAGUUGGUGGGGUAAAAGCCUACCAAGGCUACGAUCCGUAGCUGGUCUGAGAGGACGACCAGCCACACUGGGACUGAGACACGGCCCAGACUCCUACGGGAGGCAGCAGUGGGGAAUUUUGGACAAUGGGCGCAAGCCUGAUCCAGCCAUGCCGCGUGCGGGAAGAAGGCCUUCGGGUUGUAAACCGCUUUUGUCGGGGAAGAAACGGUUUGGGCUAAUACCCCGAACUAAUGACGGUACCUGAAGAAUAAGCACCGGCUAACUACGU